UACGGAGGGGACUAGCGUUGUUCGGAAUUACUGGGCGUAAAGCGUAUGCAGGCGGAUCGUUAAGUCGGGGGUGAAAUCCCGAGGCUCAACCUCGGAACUGCCUUCGAUACUGGCGAUCUUGAGUCCGGGAGAGGUGAGUGGAACUCCGAGUGUAGAGGUGAAAUUCGUAGAUAUUCGGAAGAACACCAGUGGCGAAGGCGGCUCACUGGCCCGGUACUGACGCUGAGAUACGAAAGCGUGGGGAGCAAACAGG
Molecule: ribosomal RNA, 253 nt
Filed under: uncultured bacterium
Lineage: Bacteria
Description: partial 16S ribosomal RNA
Rfam family: Bacterial small subunit ribosomal RNA
Source: RNAcentral